Pelobates cultripes (western spadefoot toad) is the source of this 429-nucleotide non-coding RNA. The record is from the annotation of a GenBank genome assembly. Lineage: Eukaryota; Metazoa; Chordata; Amphibia; Anura; Pelobatidae.
AUUUUUUAUAUACACCCAUUUGUUUAAAAAUACAUAGGGAUGUGGAAAGAGCGCAGGUAACUUUUUUCUUUGGUUUUUACUAUAUGUAUUUUGGCUGAUGUGUACUAUGGUCGUUGUUACCACCCAGGAGUAAUGGGAGUUUGAGCGCAGGACCAGUUUCUUUGUAUUUGUAUUAACAAUUAGUAUGAUGCUGAUCAUAGGUAGAGGUACAAGGAACUAUGCAUUGAACACAUUCUAGGGGUAUUGGUAGCAUAUAUUGAAAAGGUGGUGUCAGUGGCAAUGUCCCCUAGAGAGAAAGUAGGGAAUUUAUAUCGCCAGGCAUGCACACUCAAUAUUAUAUCCCGGGUUACCCUAUACCUUACAGACAGAGAGCACAGUUCAGUACCACACUGGUCCGUCGUAGGGGUACUGUCCCAAGCAGAGUGGAGA